Molecule: ribosomal RNA, 644 nt
Filed under: Acromantis sp. MN459
Lineage: Eukaryota; Metazoa; Arthropoda; Insecta; Mantodea; Hymenopodidae
Description: eukaryotic LSU rRNA
Rfam family: Eukaryotic large subunit ribosomal RNA
Source: RNAcentral
GCCGAAGCAACUAGCCCUGAANAUGGAUGGCGCUAAAGCUCCGUGCCUAUACCCGGCCGCCGGAAGGCAUAGGCGUGAGCCGCUCUUCUGGGGCGGCGAGCGCGCGAAGCCCCGGCGAGUAGGAGGGCGCGGCGGUGUGCGCGGAAGGGUCUGGGCGCGAGCCUGCCUGGAGCCGCCGCCGGUGCAGAUCUUGGUGGUAGUAGCAAAUACUCAAGCGAGGGCCUUGAGGGCUGAUGUGGAGAAGGGUUUCGUGUGAACAGCCGUUGCACACGAGUCAGUCGAUCCUAAGCCCUAGGAGAAAUCCGAUGUCGAUGCGGGGGGUUUCAUUUACUGUGCUCCCCCUCGAUGGGCGAAAGGGAAUCCGGUUCCUAUUCCGGAACCCGGCAGCGGAACCGAAUCUACGGGCCCUCGAAAGAGAAGCUCGUCGGGGUAACCCAAAGGGACCCGGAGACGCCGUCGGGAGACCCGGGCAGAGUUUUCUGUUCUGCAUAAGCGUUCGAGUUCCCUGGAAUCCUCUAGCAGGGAGAUAGGGUUUGGAACGCGAAGAGCACCGCAGUUGCGGCGGUGUCCGGGUCGUCCCCUCGGACCUUGAAAAUCCGGGAGAGGGUCACGCGGAGGUGUCGCGCCGGCUCGUACCCAUAUCC